AUCGCUUGUCAGUCUUUUGGUUGAGAUCGAGGGUAGUGUCUGUUGUUAUCAGUUUAAUAUCUGACAGGUCCUCGAUGAGAGGAUGUUAUAUUAAAGGGAUUUUUGGGCUUGGGAGUUGCAUCCGGAGCUUGCUCGCUCGGCGCAUCGUCCCGGUAUUGUAGUGCCUCGGGGAACAGUGCACCCCCA
This is a small nuclear RNA of Colius striatus (speckled mousebird), 186 nucleotides long. RefSeq annotates it as U2 spliceosomal RNA. The record is from RefSeq and is a predicted model, not a curated record. NCBI's taxonomy places the organism in Eukaryota, Metazoa, Chordata, Aves, Coliiformes, Coliidae. The transcript has a single exon.